This is an RNA transcript of Rhagoletis pomonella (apple maggot), 4496 nucleotides long. It is a transcript of the gene named cyclin-G-associated kinase, with no coding region annotated. The record is from RefSeq and is a predicted model, not a curated record. Lineage: Eukaryota; Metazoa; Arthropoda; Insecta; Diptera; Tephritidae. The transcript is spliced from 13 exons.
UGCGCUGUCAUGGCGUAAUUUCCCUUGGUCUUCUUUGAAAAACACAAGUAUUGUUAAAAAGUGAAGUUUCUGAAAAUUCUGUGCAAAGCAAUUUAAAAAAUUUGAUUCGAAGAAGAACGCGGGCAUUAUUGUUGACUAGGGCAAAAAGUUCGCGUAAUAUAAAAUGAGUGAAUUCUUUAAAUCUGCAAUGGGCUACUUCAAUACAGCCCCAAACCCGAAUACAGUGGCAGAUUCUGUCCUUGGAAAUUCUGGCAGCGUGUCUCCUAGUGAAAACAUAACGACAAACGAGUUCUGUGGCCAAGUUGUUGAGGUAGCAGGUCAAAAGCUCGGUGUAAAGCGUGUUAUUGCAGAAGGCGGUUUUGCAUUUGUAUAUGUCGCUCAAGAUGUUCAGACGGGAAAAGAAUACGCCCUCAAACGUCUCAUUGGCACUGAUAAGCAAGCUUGCAAUGCUAUCAUUAAUGAAAUUAACACACACAAACAGCUUUCUGGUCAUCCAAAUAUUGUUGCAUUUGUUGGAGCAGCAUUUGUUGAUAAAACAACUGGACCUCAACAGCGUGCUGAAUACUUGCUAUUAACGGAGCUUUGUAAUGGAGGAUCGCUUAUAGAUUGCUUGAAUGCAUCACUAGAACCUGCUUUGGUGCUACGUGUUUUCUACCAAGCCUGUCGAGCAGUGGCUCAUAUGCACAGUCAGUCUCCACCUAUGACACAUCGCGAUAUUAAGAUUGAAAACUUUCUAAUUGGAAAUGAUAAACUACUUAAACUUUGUGACUUUGGAUCAGCAACUAAAGACACAUAUGCCCCGACUGUUGAUUGGGGAGCUAAACAACGAAAUCUUCUGGAGGAUAAGCUCAGCUCUGUUACAACACCAAUGUAUCGUGCACCUGAAAUGUUGGACACCUGGUCAAAUUAUGAAAUUGGUAUAAAGGUGGAUGUUUGGGCUUUGGGUUGCGUAUUAUAUGCUUUAUGUUUUCAAAAACAUCCUUUUGAAGAUUCAGCUAAAUUGCGGAUCGUAAAUGGGAACUAUAUUUUACCUACCGAUCCUCGUUUUCACUGUUUUCAUGAAAUAAUCAAAGGGUGUCUAACUGUGAAUCCAGCGCUUCGCUUUAAUAUUUCGACGGUUCUAGAACGUCUGGCAUCUAUAGCGGAAACAAAAAAUUGGUCGCUGAAAAGUGGUCUUGAAUUACGCGGUAAGCCUAUAGAAUCUCCCCAGCCCAGUACUCCCGUGAACGGUACAAAUACACCUCACCUUGGUGGUGGCAAUGGCACACCAGCAUCUGGAGUUGUAGAGAACAUGGGUAAAUCGAUGUUUUAUUUGGAUGACCCAUCAGGACCAAAUUCGCAGCCAGUCAGUAUUCAUCAAGCGAAUCAACAUCAAAACAAUAAUCCGACAAGUGCACAAUCGGGAAAUACUGUCACUUCUAAUAGUAGUUUGUUUUCGUCGUUGCGCGGUGGGGCAGGAAGUUUUCUAAAAAACCUUAAAGAUACUUCAUCUAAGGUAAUGCAAACGAUGCAACAAACUAUCGCGCGAACUGACUUAGAUAUCAGCUAUAUAACAUCGCGUAUUCUUGUGAUGCCUUGUCCGUCAGAAGGGUUCGAAUCUGCUUAUAAAACUAAUAAUAUUGAGGAUGUGCGAUUAUCAAUUGAAAGUCGCUUUCCACCUCAAACAGUGAGCAUAUAUAACUUUGGCCAAAGCAACUGCCCUCGAUUACCACCACCUGUGCGUACUGUCGAAGUUGGCUCUAUAUAUAUUUGCAUGCAGGCGCAUUCACCCAGCUUGCAAGGCAUGUUUUCAGUUGUCGAAGACAUGUACAGCUUUUUAGCCGCGGAUCCUAAAUCUGUUGUUAUUAUACAAACGAACGACUCAGGUGGUUGUUCUGCCGCAACGAUAGUUGCCGCGCUUCUUAUGUAUGCGAACUUAAUUCAUGAACCCGAAGACGCUGUCCAAGUUUUCGCUGUAAAACGUCACCCCAUUAACCUUAGACCAUCGGAAUUUCGUUAUUUAUAUUAUUUUGGCGAUGUUUUGCGUCCAACACCAUUGUUACCGCAUUACAAAAGUAUCAACUUAGUAUCUUUGUGUUGCCAACCCGUGCCCCGUAUGACCAAAGCACGUGAUGGAUCUCGCAUUUACAUGGAAGUCUACUGCAAUGAUCGACUAGUGCUCAGCACUUUGCAGGACUACGAAAAGAUGAGGCUGUAUUUAGCAGGACCGGGAAAAAUUAUGUUGCCCAUAAAUCUAACGGUUUGUGGAGAUCUGAUAGUGGUGCUUUAUCAUGCGCGGAAUGCACUUAAAGGCAUGGUGCGUCCUCAGAGUUUGAAGAUUUGUCAAUUUCAAAUCAACACGGGCUUUAUACCGGAACAAGAAACAUUGAUAACAUUUUCCUUGAAUGAUCUCGAUGAUUUACCGGAUGCCGAUCAGGUUCCUCAUGACUUUUCGGUUUCGCUGUCGUUGAGUUUCACAGAUAACGAAUGCCCGCCGAGUAGGAAUCCUCCUUGGUUACCAGCAAAGCCCAUAAGAAACGCACAACAUAUAUUUAGUUCGCAAUUAGAAUUCGAGGAAAUGGUGGAUAAUUUCGUGACAAAACCUAGUUCCAUUAACAAACCUACGCCUGUUAAGUCAGUUGCUUCGGUAGAUAAUGUACCCAAACUAUUGCGUUCUGAUUCAACGCCUAUUUUACCUGAUGUUACCGAAAUAAAGCAAGAGGAUGUACCUCGAAUCCAACCUCAACCAUCACCACCAAUAGACUUGCUUAAUUUAAACCAGCCCCAACCCCAGCUGCCGGUGCAAGAUCCACAAGCCACGGUUAUGCCAACGAGUGACGCUAGUUUCGAUUUGCUUGGAGCAUUCGGGGAUGAUAAUUCAUCUGGCAUCGGCUCGGCUCCAAUACCUGAUAUUUUAGAAAUUAAUGUACAACCAACUUCAAAUGCCAACCUUGAUGAUAUCUUCGGCUCAGUUGCUUCACCGGCGCCGAAAAUCAACCUGGAGUUUAAUAGUUUUUCUGUACACCAGCCGACACCAACUAGUGUAAACACUUCAGCGACGACUAAAGUAACCCCAACCUCAGCAACUGGUACUUACUUUGGCUCAGUGCCUACAUUCAACACGAAUCCCAGCAAGGAACCAUCACCACAAAAUCCCAAAGAUCCAUUUGCUGACAUUGCCAAUUUAGCCUCUGGUCUCAAUAUCAACUUCAACCCACACACGUUAGGCAGUAAAUCAACAGGUGCUACACCCAUCGGAAAUAGCCCAUAUACUACACAAUUCUCGAGUCCAACACACAACGCCAGUAGUGUGCGAACACCACAGUCACAGCAACCGGCUGCUACUGUCUCGCCGAAUCAUAUAACGUCUCCAAGUGGGGUAGGGGGUUUUGGUGCAUCCUUUGCAGCUGGUCCUACAACAUUUUCAUCGUCUUCAAGCCAAAACACAAAUCGGCCAUCACCACAAACUACUGCUGCAUCGGGAGGAUCAACUACCCAGUCGAAUAGACCAGACUAUAGUCGAUCGAAUUUCGACACACCUAAAUCGGGGCAAAACGCCGGCGCACAAGCAAAAAAUGCAGACAUUUUUGCCGACAUACUAGGAGAACAAGGCUAUAGGUUUGGCAGUAAAAUGAAUCAAGGCCCGCGGUCCAUUAACGAAAUGCGUAAGGAGGAUCUCAUUAAAGAAAUGGAUCCAGAAAAAGUAAAAAUCAUGGAAUGGACUGAAGGCAAAAAGAACAACAUAAGAGCACUCUUGUGUUCUAUGCACACAGUGCUUUGGACGGAUGCAAAAUGGACUAAAUGUGAAAUGUCUACGCUCAUUUCGCCGGCAGAUGUGAAAAAAUCUUAUAGACGUGCAUGUCUGGCUGUACACCCAGAUAAGCACAACGGCACAGAAAAUGAGAGCAUAGCUAAAUUGAUAUUUAUUGAGCUAAACAAUGCAUGGACUGAUUUUGAGAAUGACACAACGCAGCAAAAUUUAUUUACCACAUAAAAUGUGAAAUUUUAAACGCACUACCCAGCGUAAUGAUACUUUCUUUCAGUACUGCGGAAAACCAAUCUUUAGUUGCUUUGGAUAAAUUAGUUAAAAUAGGAAUAUGUACAAUUCAAUUACAUAGUUGAUAUUAUCCCACGCUUUCUUACCUAUGGUCAAUUGUCAGAAGAAGCUCUGGAAGCACGGAACAAAGACCCUAAGAUCUACAAAUGUUCUCUAUUUGCCUCGCAAGUGCAGCAGAAAAAAGAUGAAUGAAGAUAUAUUCAGUAGAAUUUUGAUCACUUCCGACCCUGUUAUAUCAAAUAUGAGAAAGCUACCCCAAAAAAAUAUUGAAGGAUUUGCCGAAAGAAGCAAAACAUUUGAUAAUUAUGGGGAACUAUAGUGAUAAUCAAGAUGUUGAUUGGGAUGGCAAUGACGCAAGCGAAGAAAUUUUUUAAACUAAUUUCUAAGCUUAAAAAACAUAUAGAGUAUUUUUACAAUUCGAGUUCAUUAAUAUAUAAAAAAUUACCUAUAAAAGACAGUG